CACCUUUUGACUGCCCGGACCGCCACAGAGAUGUGGUUUUCCCUUCGGGGACCGGGACACAGGUGCUGCAUGGCUGUCGUCAGCUCGUGUCGUGAGAUGUUGGGUUAAGUCCCGCAACGAGCGCAACCCUCGCCUUUAGUUGCCAUCAUUAAGUUGGGCACUCUAAAGGGACCGCCGGUGGUAAGCCGGAGGAAGGUGGGGAUGACGUCAAGUCCUCAUGGCCCUUACAGGGUGGGCUACACACGUGCUACAAUGGCGACUACAGAGGGCAGCAAACCAGCGAUGGGGAGCCAAUCCCAAAAAGUCGUCUCAGUUCGGAUUGUUCUCUGCAACUCGAGAGCAUGAAGUCGGAAUCGCUAGUAAUCGCGGAUCAGCAUGCCGCGGUGAAUACGUUCCC
RNAcentral lists this ribosomal RNA (397 nucleotides) under uncultured bacterium. Its description in RNAcentral is "bacterial SSU rRNA". It matches the Rfam family "Bacterial small subunit ribosomal RNA", at positions 975 to 1375 of the family's 1533-position model. The record is from RNAcentral.